This 167-nucleotide non-coding RNA is filed under the name human gut metagenome. RNAcentral's name for it is "Lysine riboswitch". It matches the Rfam family "Lysine riboswitch aptamer". From Rfam's summary of the family: Riboswitches are metabolite binding domains within certain messenger RNAs that serve as precision sensors for their corresponding targets. Allosteric rearrangement of mRNA structure is mediated by ligand binding, and this results in modulation of gene expression. The record is from RNAcentral.
AGAGUAGAGGUCGCGUGCUUCAAGAGUAGCUUGCCGGAUGUGUUCAGGUGCAGAGGAAGGUGAGGAAAAGGGGAGAACGCCGAAAGGUACAGUGCCUGGGGCUGUGCGCUUGGGCAUACAGUUAAGAGCUGUAUGACUCUCAUCAAAAAUGGAUGGGGAGCUCUCUG